AGCGAACGCUGGCGGCAGGCUUAACACAUGCAAGUCGAGCGCCCCGCAAGGGGAGCGGCAGACGGGAGAGUAACACGUGGGAACAUACCUUUUGGUUCGGAACAACUGAGUGAAACUUCAGCUAAUACCGGAUAAGCCCUUACGGGGAAAGAUUUAUCGCCGAAAGAUUGGCCCGCGUCUGAUUAGCUAGUUGGUGAGGUAACGGCUCACCAAGGCGACGAUCAGUAGCUGGUCUGAGAGGAUGAUCAGCCUCACUGGGACUGAGACACGGCCCAGACUCCUACGGGAGGCAGCAGUGGGGAAUAUUGGACAAUGGGGGCAACCCUGAUCCAGCCAUGCCGCGUGAGUGAUGAAGGCAUUAGGGUUGUAAAGCUCUUUUGCCCGGGAAGAUAAUGACGGUACCGGGAGAAUAAGCCCCGGCUAACUUCGUG
Molecule: ribosomal RNA, 431 nt
Filed under: uncultured bacterium
Lineage: Bacteria
Description: partial 16S ribosomal RNA
Rfam family: Bacterial small subunit ribosomal RNA
Source: RNAcentral